GUCAUAAAGUGCCUCUGGGUUCAAUCCUCAGUACUUCCCUCCUCAAAAAAAAAAAAUUUAGAGAGCUAUAUCUCUCUUUCAGAAACUACCUUACCGUUCUUAAAGGUGCAUUAUCUUAUUGUUAAAUGGACAGGGAAUCAUAUCCUUGGUCCUUACUCAGGAAUGCCUGUCCCUUUAACAGCCUGCCAGUCCUCUGUUAAAUUGAUCUGUCUACAUGUAUUUUGAGAAAUCCAAAAUUUCACCCUUGACUUUCUUCUAAACUCUGAGGUGGAGCCCAUCUAUUUCUAGCAAUUGCUCAAUUUUGGGAAAGAAAAUUGUGACAGAAUUCAUUCCUGAUUCAGUCAGGAACAUCUAGUUUGUUAUUGCUAUUCAACCUUGUACCUGGGAUAGGUCUAAUUCAAAAGUUAGUUUAGUGAGAAUGUGAGAAUUUGACCAAUGCUUUCUUUUCAUUUUUUGCUGUCUCCCUUUUACACCUGUGUGGACCUUUCUAUCAUGGUCAUCAAUUGAUUGGUCUCAUAGAUCCCCUGGCUGCCUUUCUGCCUCCCAUGGUUCUGGCAAAGGUUUUACCACUGAGGUCUGUUCCUCAGAAAUGCCCAACUAUCCUGUUUUAGCUUUUGUUUAUUUAUUUAUUUAUUUUAACUUGGGUCUGUUCUUCUAGGGAUGACAUUCCUUCUAUUUUUCUUCCACUUGGGCAGUUUUGUUUUUAUUUUAACACCUCUUCUUUUAAAACUUCACUGAUAAAGCAUAUAAAAUGUCCUCCAUAAUGUUGGAGAAAUUCCUUGUCUCCUCCUCCAUGCCUUACAUGUUUCCUGGUCUCCCAAAACAUUUUUAAAGGAAUUUUUGAAGUUUUAAAAGGGAUUUAAAAAUUUUCUUUGGAUUGUUAUUUCAACUUUCUUAUUUUUCUUAAUGAUGUAAAAUUUCUCCAUUUGUGUCUUUUCCCAAAGUUGGGUCUCUGAUCAUUGAUUUUUUUGUGGGCCGGCUCAGUCAGUUUGGAAUCGCUCUUACAUAGAGUUCCCACAGGCACUUCCUAUCGAGUUCAUACCUAUCUCAUGGAGCUAUGGAUCAGAGACCCCUUUCUUUGAAAUUUCUAAAGUGACUUCUCCUAGGAAGAAGUAGUUGUCUUAAUUAAAACCACCCCAUGAAAUGGUCUGCAAAUUAUUGGGUGGAUAACUGAAGUUUCUCAUUGGAACUACUUGGGUUGACUUUGUAACUUUGCUGCUUUUUAGAGUAUUUCAGUUUUUGUUUUAUAGUCUACAUUAGAGGCUGCAAACUUUUUCUAUAAAGAGUCAGAUCAUAAAACUCUAGGCUUUGCAGGCCACAUGGUCUCUGUUGUGGCCAUGAACAGUACUGACGUAGUAUAGAAGCAUCUACAGACAGUAUGGAUAGAAAUCAGUCCUACUGUGUUCCAGGAAAGCUUCAUUCAUAAAUACUGAAAUUUGAUUUUUUUAUGAUUUCCAUUGUACCGUGUAUUCUUUUAAUUUGUCAGUCAUUAAAGAGUCAGAAAACAAUUCUUAGCUGACAGCUUAUACAGAGGUAGGUAGUGGGCCAGACUUGGCCCACAGGCAGGAGUCUGCCAACCCCUGAUCUGGAAGUUUAAGUUUGACAUUUCUGUUCACAGUGAUUGUACCAGAUUUCCUGUCCCACAAAGUUUUGCAACUUGUUUUGGUUUAAGAUGUCCCAAAAUACACAGCCACAUCCGCUCCUGAGUGCCUCCACCAGAUCCUUUCUAUACGUGUUUUUUGUUUGGCGGCGAGAGACAAGCUGGUUCUUUACACGCCAAUUAUAUCAUGGCCUCGUUUGGUUGCCAAGUGUCCCCACACGGCCAUCUGAUCUGGAAGCCUCUCCUUGACCAUGUCUCUCCCUUCCUAUACUGCCCUCCUAUCUCUAAGAAGAAAAGAUGGAAACAAAGAAAUGUCAAAACAUCAGCUUCAAAUAGAAAGUGCUGCUUAUGACCCCAAAGGAGCCGCUGGUGCCUUACAGAGCUUUGAAGUGGAAAUCAGAAACCCAUGCUCUGGUCCUGACUCGGUGGCCCACCAGCUCCUGUGUAACCACAAAUAAGAAUGUCCAGAGAAGUCAAGGAGCUCACAGCCUGCUGGGAAGAGAAAAUAUUUUGUGGAUCCUAACGCAGGAAACAAAGCAGACCAAGUCAUGUGACUGGUGUUCCACAGAACGCACCAGGGAUGGGCUGGUUGAGUCCAGCAUCUUCCUUUGAUGGAUACAGGAGCUACAGCCAAAGGCUCACUCAGAGGAGCAGCAGCAGGACCAGGACCGGCCCAGCUCGUCUGACGUCACGGUUUGCUCUGUAUUCACACCCCUGGGUGUAAAACAGUUCCUUUUUUGCAGCUGCUCCAUUGCCUGCUGCUGGUCCUAAGGGGGUGAUUGAGGCUCAGAAAAUGAUACUCCAGAGGAUGGCUUUGGCACGCUCAGUGCUUUGAACUCAAGGAGAGCCAAGGUCUCUGGCCUCCUCCUGCUCCCUGCUCCUGUCUCUCAUCCCUCUUUCCUUCAGUUCCCUUGGACCCUCUAGAAUACUAAGCUACAGGAAGAAAAACUCACAGCCCACGUGAACUCUGCUCCAGGCACUUGUCUUUGGGCCCACUCCUCUCCCCUAAAAAGUCAUUUAUUCUUCCUCUGAAACUGCCUACAGUGCCCACUCCCCUCUCCACUAUAAAGAAAGUAUUUAAGCUGUAACCAUCUGGUCCCUCUUUGAAUUUCAUGCUUUGUGCGACUCCUACUUGCCUGCAUGAGAAUAAACUUGCACCUUUUCUCCUGCUAA
Ictidomys tridecemlineatus (thirteen-lined ground squirrel) is the source of this 2773-nucleotide non-coding RNA. Lineage: Eukaryota; Metazoa; Chordata; Mammalia; Rodentia; Sciuridae. The record is from RefSeq and is a predicted model, not a curated record.